This 39-nucleotide ribosomal RNA is filed under the name Olea europaea subsp. laperrinei. RNAcentral's name for it is "partial 5.8S ribosomal RNA". Lineage: Eukaryota; Viridiplantae; Streptophyta; Magnoliopsida; Lamiales; Oleaceae. The record is from RNAcentral.
CGACUCUCGGCAAUGGAUAUCUUGGCUCUCACAUCGAUG